UACAGUUGUCAGGAGGAGCACAGCAGCGGUUUCACAAGGUAACUGUUUUUACACACGAGCUUGUUUUCUUUCAUUAAAAACAACAAAUAACCAAAUUUAUAGAAAACCUUAUUGGACCACACAAUGAAUGCAUUUUACACUAUACACACCACACGCACUUCAACCUUGUGGAUAGACUCAGGAGCAGAGUGCAGAUUCGGGUGUGGCCCUCUGGGCAGACUCAGGGGCAGGUUCCAAGGGCCCAGAAGUUGACCUGUGUCAGGGGCCCCAAGAUUUCAGAUGGCAGCCCUGUCUGUCACUGUAGGUAUGAAAACACUACUUAGAGCCUUAAGCAAUUUAAAAGUUGAGUUUAUGCACCUUUAUUCUAAUGCCGAGCAGGUCCGUCAUUGCUGGCACCCCCCCUGCUCCAAUCCCUUGCCUGAAUUUAUUACAUUUGAUUAUCUCAGCCUCUAAAAAAUGCAGUGUUUACAUUAGAAUUCCUGCAGGGAUAGACAUUACACCCUAGAACAAUUACAUUAAGCUGUAGUUGUUCUGUUGACUAUAGUGUCCCUUUAAGCGACAACUGGAUGAAUGCAUUUACGGAACACUUUUACAGUUUUUAUGAUAUCACAACUAUUGAAUUUCAGUGAACACUUGGAAGCUGAAGAAGAGAAAUUCAGAAGAAUUGUCAAACGUUGUUUAAAAUGGGAUCCCACCAAUGACAAUCCACUGGGUUCCGUCGUACUGCCUCAAGCAGACUGUGCCAUCAGUGUCUGGUACUUUAGUACCUGUAAAGAUCAUGACAGCUAUCGCAACAGCUUUAAAAAAUUCUCAUCCCUUGUGAAGGUGGGAGGUCACGUCAUUCUGUUUGCCCUUUUCAAUGGGACCUACUAUAUGAUUGGUGAUCAUAGGUUUUCAAUGUUAAACUAUAAUGAAGAGUUUGUGAAGGAAGUUCUCCAAGACAAUGGGUAUACCACUGUGAUUUGUGAAGUAUAUGAAAGUAAAUUAAACACUCACUUAGUAGAUUAUAAACAGAGUGGGUACAUUGUAGCUUGUAAGGAAAGAGAGAUUUAAUCAAAUUAAUUCUUAAAGGAUUACUUCAAUCACCAUGACUACUUCUGCUUUUAGAAGUGAUCAUGGUGGUAGCAAUCAGUAUGUGCAGCGUUUACAGUGGGGGGAAAAGUCUUCUGAAAGUAAAAUGGAAAAAAUAAAAAAUUUCUGAGUUUGCGUGUGGGUUUUUUUUUUUUUUUUGGUUUAACUUAGAUUUGGUUUUUAGACCUAACUUUGAAAAUCUGGAUAUACUAUUCUGACUUUGAACCAUAUAAAAAGCAAAUUAAACACUCAUUUAAUAUAUCUUUUGGAUCUUUUAAGGGAGGGGAG
Pelobates cultripes (western spadefoot toad) is the source of this 1359-nucleotide non-coding RNA. The record is from the annotation of a GenBank genome assembly. Lineage: Eukaryota; Metazoa; Chordata; Amphibia; Anura; Pelobatidae.